This 216-nucleotide ribosomal RNA is filed under the name Glomeromycotina sp. RNAcentral's name for it is "partial small subunit ribosomal RNA". The stretch from base 40 to 216 matches the Rfam family "Eukaryotic small subunit ribosomal RNA", at positions 686 to 864 of the family's 1831-position model. The record is from RNAcentral. Lineage: Eukaryota; Fungi; Glomeromycota.
GGGUCAGUAGGUUGGUCGUGCCACCGGUACGUACUGGUCUCACUGAUUCCUCCUUCCUGAAGAACCGUAAUGCCAUUAAUUUGGUGUUGCGGGGAAGCAGGACUGUUACUUUGAAAAAAUUAGAGUGUUUAAAGCAAGCUAACGCUCGAAUACAUUAGCAUGGAAUAAUGAAAUAGGACGAUCGAUCCUAUUUUGUUGGUUUCUAGGAUUGACGUA